This is a long non-coding RNA of Triticum aestivum (bread wheat), 1793 nucleotides long. RefSeq lists it as uncharacterized. NCBI's taxonomy places the organism in Eukaryota, Viridiplantae, Streptophyta, Magnoliopsida, Poales, Poaceae. The record is from RefSeq and is a predicted model, not a curated record. The transcript is spliced from 3 exons.
UAGAACAGAUGCAACUACUUGUAAUUCUGAAUAAUUAGCUUUAGUUACUGUUAAAAACAACCUGUGAAAAAUUUCUUGACUGGCCCUGCUCACGAGAGCCGAAAUCCCUGGGCCCCCGAAAUUUCUUGACUGGCCCUGCUCACGAGAGCCGAAAUCCCUGGAGGCUGGAGUGGUAGAUGAUCUCAUGCGACAGUGGGUUGAAAGUGAGCUAGACGCUCGUGCCGCCGGUUUCGAACGCGUGCUACCGGUCGGCUCCUUGUGUCCUCCAGUGAAUGCGAUGAGCGGAUACUCAUCUAUAGCUAUAUGUCGAACAACAGCAUGGAUCUCUGCUUAUACUUCUAUAUUUUUUCUUGCCUAUGCUCAGAAUUUGGAUCACAAUAGUAAAUAGAUCAUUAGGUUUUCUUCUAUAAUUGUUGGUUGUUGUUGUUCUGUGCUCCAACACAUACGAGCAGCUCAUUGUUGCACGGAGAUAAGUUUCAUGCACAUAAUUAAAGUUCCGGAUAACCGAAGUACAAAUCUGUAAAUACCUUUAGAGAAAGCUUGUAUGCUUGACAUGCUUGACCAUGUAAAAGCUCAUGCAUGAGUAAUUAUAUCGUCAGGUUAUUCUUUUUAUCUGCAAGGUGAGCUUCAAAAUUCUGUAAACUAGCAUUUCCAAUAGUUCAGAGCUGCCACUUUACUUUCAGUAUUUAGGUGGAUGAUCUCUGCUUAAAUUCCUAAUACAAGUAAUGCACUCCGGCAAGUUCUAUUUAUUUGUGUCCUUGCUGCCAAUAGAUGUAAUUUUAUCGCGAGCACCCAAGUACAGCAGCACUAUUGUCGUUCAUUAUUGUUGCCUUAUGCCCUAGAGAGAAAAUAAUUAGCAUUUACCUCUGUGUACCGGACUAUAGUUGUACCAUAUGCCUAUUGUACCAUUUUCAUCCUUGAUAGAUGCAGCGAGUAAAUUGUCACUGAAAAAUGUUGUGGUUGCAGCGUUUGUUUUGUUAAUUCUGCAUUCCUUCCUUUAUGAGAAAAAUGUUACUUCUGCGUUAGUUAUAUGUUAUGUUUCUCUAUUUUUGUAAAAAUAUUCAUACAUGUGUUUGAAUUGUUUUUAGUAGCUGUCUUUAUUACUCUCUCUGAUUGAAACAAAAAAUCGGAGGCUGCCUACAGCAAGUCCGUUUGUCAUCAGCGCCUUUCUUUGCUUGGUAGUUCCACAUCCAAUCUUUCAAGCUACAUCCAUAUGUAAGAAAGUUACAAUUAAUCCAGUACUAAUAGUUUUGUACGUACGUAUAUGCGCACUUACCCCUUCUAUAUACAUAUGAUUCAGGAGCAUCUUUUACUAGCAUUUUGUUUCAUUGCCCCAUACAAAAUGUAUGCAAGUGAUGUCUAUUGUUUUUUUCCUUUGUCUAAAUAUACUACAGAAGCAUGUCUUGAAUAAAAGCUGGUUGGCGUCGUCGCAAUUGCCAAAUGUGUGUGGACGUAUUUUUCAUCUUCCACAUGUUCUCUGUCGAGAGCAAUGAGCAUAGUUUUCACUGCGAAAAGCAACCCUGAAUUAGUUUUCAAAAUUAUAUUUCAUGGCUUUCAAAGUUUUAAUAUGAUUGUUGUUGCUAACGGCCAUGUCGCAAACGUCGGCCGGUGCACACCAUGUCGCGUGCUGUUCUGCGAUUUCUGAGAGAGGCAGUGGAUAUGUGCUUCUCAAUCAAGGAGCUUUUGUCAAACCGGAUUUGCUUCAGAUCACGGAAGCUUGGGUUGAUGGAGUGCUUGUCUUUAGUUUUUGUUUUGACUUUGUGAAACUUGCUACCUAUGAUGAAACUGUGUAA